RNAcentral lists this non-coding RNA (26 nucleotides) under Rattus norvegicus (Norway rat). Lineage: Eukaryota; Metazoa; Chordata; Mammalia; Rodentia; Muridae. The record is from RNAcentral.
GAAAAGAAGCCAUGGGGUGGAUUAAA